GAUGAACGCUGGCGGCGUGCCUAAUACAUGCAAGUCGAGCGGAAGGACGCGAAGCUUGCUUCUCUGUUGUUAGGGGAGGGCGGGUGAGUAACACGUGGAAAACCCCCCUAUAAGACGGGGAUAACUUCGGGAAACGGUAUAUAAUCCCGGAUAAUAUUUUGAACCACAUGGUGCAAAAGUGAAAGACGGUCUUGCGGUCAGUACUAGAUGGAUCCGCGCUGCAUUAGCUAGUAGGUAAGGUAACGGCUUACCAAGGCGACGAGGCAUAGCCGACUGGAGAGGGUGAUCGGCCGCCCGGGAACUGGGCCAGCGUCCAGACUACUACGGGAGGCAGCAGUAGGGAAUCUGCCGCAGUGGGCGGAAGUCUGACGCAGCGACGCCGCGCGAGUGAUGAAGGUCUCCGGAGCGGAAUACUCUGUUAUUAGGGAAGAACAUAUUUGGAAGGAACUGUGCACAUCUUGACGGUACCUAGUCAGAAAGCCCCGGCUAACUACGUG
RNAcentral lists this ribosomal RNA (497 nucleotides) under uncultured bacterium. Its description in RNAcentral is "partial 16S ribosomal RNA". It matches the Rfam family "Bacterial small subunit ribosomal RNA", at positions 28 to 507 of the family's 1533-position model. The record is from RNAcentral.